GUAAAAACUUUCAACUAUUUCUAUUUCUUCUGUGUCAUUUAAGAGGCUUUCAAGGUGCACUGUACCUCUCAGACCAGUACUGCAUGAAGAAUUUGGGCUCAGCAGAUGAUGAAUUGAAAAUCCUUGCUCUCCCAACUGCUGAUUAAAUCAUGAAAUAAGAAGAGAAAUUGCACCUUGCUAAGGUCAUGAAGAAGCAACUAGGGCUACUUACUGUGAGAUACCCUGCACCUGAUUCACAUCUGCAAAAAUGAAAAUGGAAAAUAGCAAACCAACAAAUCUUACUCAUAGAGGAAAUCUGAUCUGCUGCAGCACGGAAACAUCAGCAGUGAGAUGGCGCGACAAAAUCCUUAGGGAACUGUCUGUAAGUCUGGUCAACAUUUAAGAUGAAAAGUUUUGCAUUUUCUUUGGCAGGAUGUUACAUGCAGAGUUUAGCUGUAUGAGGCAAUUGCUGAGGCAAUAAGGGAAUAUUCAGGAACACAAGCUUUGAGUAGGUGAGUAAGCACAAAGGCAGAAAUAAUCUUGUUAGGAUUUUUUCUUUCUUCCCUGCCCCACCCCCUAAAUUCUGAAAAACCUUAUUGGUCGUUGAGACUUGCUAAAUCAUGCCCAAUUGAAACCGUGUUCUCCUAGAAUCCUGGAUACACCAAAUAGACCCCACUUUAGGGCUACAAUGGUUCAGCAGUUGAAAGAUGUGAGAAUAAGCCUUUUGUACUUUUGUUGCUUCACCUUGUGACAGUCAAGCAGGGCAGGGAUCAAAGGGAAAUCCCCCUGGGACACAGGCAGUGGUGAGAGAUAGGGUAGGAAACUGGAUAAGUAAGCACUGAAAUGGUGAGGAUGAGACCAAAAAAAAGGCAAACUGGUAGUACAAACUCGGGGUAGAUGACAGAGGGUGGGAUCUGGACAGCAGUUAACAGGAGGAAGAGGGACUUAGGGUUACAUGCUACUGAUGAUGAAAGUGG
This 956-nucleotide long non-coding RNA is filed under the name Chloebia gouldiae (Gouldian finch). Its description in RNAcentral is "Erythrura gouldiae (Gouldian finch) lncRNA (ENSEGOG00005008848.1)". Lineage: Eukaryota; Metazoa; Chordata; Aves; Passeriformes; Passeridae. The record is from RNAcentral.